Ictalurus punctatus (channel catfish) is the source of this 5730-nucleotide long non-coding RNA. RefSeq lists it as uncharacterized. The record is from RefSeq and is a predicted model, not a curated record. The transcript has 2 exons. NCBI's taxonomy places the organism in Eukaryota, Metazoa, Chordata, Actinopteri, Siluriformes, Ictaluridae.
CUCUCUCUCUCUCUCUCUCUCUCUCUCUCUCUCUCUCUCUCUCUCUCUCCUAAUGACGCUAACAAAAAUGAGUCUUCUCAUCGUGCACCACCGGCAAAACGCGCUAAGCGGCUAUUGUUCUAUUCUACCCACUGGGAACUGUACUUAACUAGGCACUUCUACCUGGAGUUAAGUCUACUAAUGUGUUAUUUUUUUAUGAUUUCCAAAUGGGAAGACGGUUGACUUGAAAUAACAGAAACGUCAAUGGUGCUUUUUAAUCAAUUAUUGUUAUGAUGAUAUAAAAGAUAAAAUAUUGUUUUAUGCAUUAACCUCAUAGUUCCCACAGAAUUUACCGAGCUUUGAUGACAUAAGACGAUCUAAUAUAGCAUUUACAGUACCCUGAUAAGAGUAAUGCCUGCUUUUAAUCGUUAUGGUGUAGAAGGCAACAUUAUUUAAACACCAAUAAACCCGACUAAGGUAAAAGUAAAGCAAAGAAAAUUAAAUAAUAGGCUAGUUUAUUUUAUAUAUUUAACAAAGUUAUAAUAAAAUUGUAAUUUUUUUAAGGCAAUGUCUAUUUUUGUUUUCUAAUAAUUUACAGUGAAUUAAUAACAUUAAUCAGAUUAAUGUAUAAUAAUAAUUUUUUUGUUGUUGUUGCAAAAUUAACAGACAAAACACGAAUUUUAAAAAUACAUUUUGUUAUUUGUUAGACAUAAUGACGAAAAACACAUUGUUAGGGUCUGACCCUAAAAAUAGUCAUUCAGUCGCAACUUUUCAUAUCUAAUUCAGCUCAGUGAAACUGUAUAGGCUAGUACAUUUUGUAUUGAUCUGUGUUUUUCUUUCUUUUUCUUUUUUGUUUUUUACAGAAUGAGCGGUGUGGUGGUGGUUGUUGCUGUUGUUUUUCCUAUUAUUAUAAUUUCGUCUGUGGAAUUUUGAACUGUCAAUAUUUCUCUACUUAGCGUAUUUGUCUGGCCGCUCCUUAAUGAACAAAAAGCGACAAAAUAAAAAUAUUCUGUGAACAUAUUAUUAUUAUUAUUAUUAUUAUUAUUAUUAUUAUUAUUAUUAUUAUGUACAAAUGAUUAUUAUCGAACGAGAAUGUUCUUCCGUACUGUUGGUCAGUCCUUAGAUCAAAACGGCCUUUAUCUCUGAUCUUUUCUCCCUCUGUGUGUGUGUGUGUGUGUGUGUGUGUGUGCGUGUGUGUGUGUGUGUGUGAGAGAGAGAGAGAGAGAGAGAGAGAGAGAGAGAGAGAGAGAGAGAGAGAGAGAGAGUGUGUGUUUGCGAGAGAGAGAGAGAGAGAGAGAGAGAGAGAGAGAGAGAGACGGUGAUGUCGCCUCGAUUGUUAUCCUGCACUGUUGGUUGAUUUGACUGUCGGUAACAAAGCGCGCGGCGGAUAGGUGGAUAGGGAGCUGGUGCAGCUCGCCUGAAAGCCGGGAGUCAGUCCCAGUCUGCGGAGUUCAAAGCAACUUAGAAAGAAAGAGAGGAAGUAAAAUCCUCUUUUAGUGAGGACAUUAGAGUGGCACCUGAUGAUGUCGACUGUGACAAGUGUUAAUUGCUACGCAGCUCUCCUAAUUAGGGAUUUUCAGAUUGUGGUGCGGCUGCGGGGCAGAUAGAUCACUGUUUGGAUUACUGCCCUGAAACACACUGAGGCUGCACACAAGUCGCCCAUUAGUUUGUGUAAACCGAUGUUAAGCAAAUUAUAUGUAGAAAAAUAAUGAUAUUUUCAGUUAUUAUUCUUUUUUUUUUUUUUUUUUUUUUUUUUUUUUUUGUUCUUUUGGAAACAGCACAAGAUUUUAAUAAUUUAUCCUAGGUUUACGCCCCUUUCAGCAUGAUUUUAAAUAUGAAAAAGUCUAUUUAAACUCUAAUUAAUUUAGUUGAUCUAAUAUGGUAUUUGUAUUAACUGUUAUGAAAAUGUACUUGUGAAAAUAUAUUUCCCAUCUCCUUUGGUUUAUUGCUGUAUCUAUAUCAAGUUUCUUUGUGAAGUCGGGUCUUUUUCUGAAUUAUUUAUUUAUUUAUUUAUUUUGUCUUUUGUUUUAAUUAGCUACGUUAUUUAUACUGCAAUGGCUAUCAGAAAUGGCUGACUAUAGGCUAUCCAAAUUAAGUAUCGUAAUAAUUUCAUAGUAUUUCAUAAGCUGUUAUAAAUAUUCAUAUUCAUAUAACGAGCACAGAAAAUAUUCUUCGGGAAAAAAAAUCUUCAGAAAACACACCAUACAUGUUUUAUAUUGUAUUCCACGUUGCUUCCUUUUUAAAUGUAACUUUUGUGAGUUUUGUCUUUGUUUCUGUUUCGCUGUCUGUUCAGGUAGGCUAUGUCGUGCAGUCUGUUUAAGAGCUGUAUUCUUCUGGCUAUAUUUUGGUUCUUUUUUUUAAAAAAAGUAGUCACAUGGUUCGUAUUAGACUUGUAUUAUUAUUAUUAUUAUUAUUAUUAUUAUUAUUAUUAUUAUUAUUAUUUAUUUAUUUAUUUAUUUAUUUUUUUGCAUAUUUCUUGUUACCAACUGGCAUUUAUUUAUAUUGGGCUGGGGAUAUAAAGCUUUGUUAUUGCUCUGCCUCGGGUGAAUUGUUUAUGACACGGCUAAUGGGAGUAAUUGUUAUUGUUGAAAUUGCCUGUCAGGAGAGUGACAGCGGAUAUUCUGGCGCGCUUUUCCGCUGAUCGGCCUCCUCCGCCGGGUAAUGAACAGCGCCACCGUCCCAUAAUGCGCCUGUCAAUGCCGCAUGCCGCGCCACUCUCAUCUCAUUGAUGACGAAAAAAACAUCGAGACGAGUUGAGAAGAGUUGAGUUGCGAGCAGUGAGGAUAUUGUGCAUGUGCUGCAUGUGCUUUGUAUUAAUGAAAUCAUUUAGGAGGGAUACAAUACUCUAAGAGGCAGGAGCCAAUCUUCUGAUGAGGCUACUCAUCUUCAUAUUGUCAGGCACAAAAACAGGUACACAUAUACAGUAUACACGCUCCCCAUAUUGACCUUAUACUCAAGCCCCUUGUGUGUUUACUGCCCUCUCACUGCCUCCUCUCCCUCUCUUUCCCUCUCUCUCUUCGCACACACACACACACACACACACACACACACACACACACACACAGACACACACACCCAUACACAUACACACACGCACACUGUACAUUCACAGCUACAGGCAUUAACCUGUGGGAAACCUUUAUGAAAGUGCUUCCACUGCCAUGUUCCAAUAUAUAAGAUAAUACAUCCUAAAAUGACUUUUUUGGCCUCACCAUUAAGGCUUUCCAUUUUAAUAAAUGUGAGCAGUGUGGUGAGACAGGUUUGGGGCAAUCUCUAACCGUAUGGUUGUUUUAUCUGUGUUGUCAGUGUGAAAGGAGGGGGAAGGCUUGCCCAGAGAGAGUUCCCCAGGUGCUGCAGAAGAGCCGUUGCACUUAAACUUGUUUCAUGAUAUCAUAAAGCUGCACUAGAUAUCCAAAUGAACAACUCGUGCCUUUCAUUGACCCCUGUACAGAAAAUCACUAGCGACAAUAGGUUUAGAGGGAGAGGAAUAGAAGCUGAAAGGGAAAGGCGGGGGUAGUGAUAAUGUUGGCAAGCCCGGUGUGGGAGCAGGUGCCAGCAGAGAGGAUAAUAAACACAAUACACAUGACAAGAUGGCUACUCACUCCAACUAAUGUCUUUUGGCUGUGGUUAGGUCAUCGGUCUCAAAAUUCCACAUCAGCUUAAUGAGCAUUUCUUUUCUUUGCCUUCUAAUUUUCUGCUCUCGUUUCUUAUUAAUUUCUUUUCUGUCUUUCAUAAACCUGCUGUCCUUCCCUCUCACCCUGCUGUCUUUUUUUUGCUUCUGACCUGCACCUUGGGCUUCUCUCUCUCUCUCUCUCUCUCUCUCUCUCUCUCUCUCUCUCUCUCUCUCGCUCUCGCUCUCGCUCUCUAUCUCACCAGUCAGGAUCUUAAUCAGCACCAGAUGGACACGGUGUCGAAAUUGUCCAAGAGGCUCGGAGAACGCAGGGAGCUGUCAGGCCUGUGGAGAGAGUGGAAUUCUUCAGCAAUAAAACUGGGAUUUAUUGCCUCUCUAGACCCUGCUCUGAUAAAAUGUUCCUUUUCAGAUAGAGGGAGGCCACUGUCCAUUACACUCACCCAACUCCACUACCAACCUAACAACAAGCUGCUGUCAGAGACCGAAAGCCUUCUCAUCCCCUACCGAGCCAAAUGAACCUGCUAAAAUAGCUGCUUUCCACAAUAGACUGGGUAAUUGAAACCAGAAUGUGGAGGAUUUGAUAAAUAGCUUGACCCUAAAGGAAUGCUCAAGUCAUAAAUUUUAAGUGCAUUUUGGCUGGGUAUUUUGGGUAAAUGCAUGUCUGUGCAUGUGUCUUGGUGUGUGCAUAUAUGUUCGCAUGUGUGUACAGGUCUGAAAUUUUAUUAUUUGUAUUAGUGGAUUUUUUCCCUUCGAUUUGGAGCAGGCACACAUGUAUACCAAAACCUUUGUGGGUUUUAAAGCACCUUUCUAGCCUAAGAUCAAAUGCAUGACAAAUAUUCUGAGUUUAUGGAGUUCUUUCACGUAGGCUAUAACUGGUUUAGAUUAAAGCAAAUUACAUGUGAAAUUCCAAAACAUGUGGCAGAAGGGUGUGACACGUUUAUCCAAUAAAACAGGUAAUAGCAUCUACAUUUAAAAUGUUAAAAAUUGUGACUAACACAAAGAAAAAAAGACUUGCUAAAACAUGUAUGUAUGUUUGCACAGGAAUGAAGUGGAUUUACUGACAUAUCUGUUAACUAUGUAAUCAUGUUAACCAUGUAAACAUAAAAACAUUCAGACACAAAGAUUUUUUUUCAUCAACGCAAAUUAUUCAUCAUUCAAAAAUAUUCUGGUCCCAAACAACUACGUUUCAACUCAUGUUAAUGACAAUAUUAUGAUAAAAGCUCAUUUAAUGUUUGAUUGAGGUAGCUGAAUCAUGAACAUGUUUAUAUGAUUCUGGUGUGUGGCUGUAGAAGACAUUCUGGCAUGUGGCUGGGCCAGCACUGUGUAAACAGAGCCAAAUAUUCAAUUUAUGAUGCUUGUCCCAGCUAAACCAGGGGUCUGUUUAUUUUUAGUAGCAUAAUUAUUUUUUGCAGCUUUUCAGUUACUAAGAAUAGGUGUUGUGUUUUUCUAAGAGCUGAAGGGCAUAUAUAGGUGCUGGGAAUGGUUUUCUCUGUGAUCCUUAACAAAGUCUUAAUUAUGUUUUGUUUUUGUGUCCCUCUGUGACUUUCUUUAGGGUGAUAAAUUAUACAGUCAUGCUAAAAGAACCUUGCCACACAAGACAGACUUCCACAGGGUACCUGGCUUGCUGACAGUUACCUGUUCAGCCCUCUGGUGCAGGAAUAAAAUGAACUCUAUUAUGAGUCAGAUGCAUAAAUAUUUCCAUUUCUAUUUUCCAAAACUGUUUUUAAUUUUACAAGUUUUAUAGCUCUAAUAUUAAGUGCAUGUGUUUUACAAGGCAUUGUGUCCUCUGAGUCACCCCCAGCUCCCCAGUAAAAAAAAAAAAAAAAAAAAAAAAAAAAAAAAAUUUUUCUACCUUGGGGAAGGGGGGAUUCAUGGGCCCCUUUCAAACACACUCCUCCACAUCCUAUAACCUCAUGGCCUUCCUUUUUAGGAACAGCAGCUCAGUGAGUUGGGGUCCAGGAACGGGUAACUCCCUGUGUCUCCCUGCUGGCAUGUUGAUCUAAGAGUCCAAAAACCUUCAUCGUCUUGACAAAGUUGUAUAUGCACUCAGUAUUCCAUGUAUAGAACAACUGCUCUGUUAAUAUGUUCUGACAUCCAAAAUAAAAUGGCCUGAUACAGUG